Molecule: ribosomal RNA, 492 nt
Filed under: uncultured bacterium
Lineage: Bacteria
Description: partial 16S ribosomal RNA
Rfam family: Bacterial small subunit ribosomal RNA
Source: RNAcentral
AGUGAACGCUGGCGGUAGGCCUAACACAUGCAAGUCGAACGGCAGCACAGUAAGAGCUUGCUCUUACGGGUGGCGAGUGGCGGACGGGUGAGGAAUACAUCGGAAUCUACUUUUUCGUGGGGGAUAACGUAGGGAAACUUAUGCUAAUACCGCAUACGACCUACGGGUGAAAGCAGGGGAUCUUCGGACCUUUCGUGAUUGUAUGAGCCGAUGUCGGAUUAGCUAGUUGGCGGGGUAAAGGCCCACCAAGGCCACGAUCCGUAGCUGGUCUGAGAGGAUGAUCAGCCACACUGGAACUGAGACACGGUCCAGACUCCUACGGGAGGCAGCAGUGGGGAAUAUUGGGCAAUGGGCGCAAGCCUGAUCCAGCCAUACCGCGUGGGUGAAGAAGGCCUUCGGGUUGUAAAGCCCUUUUGUUGGGAAAGAAAAGCAGCAGGUUAAUACCCCGCUGUUCUGACGGUACCCAAAGAAUAAGCACCGGCUAACUUCGUG